Telopea speciosissima is the source of this 433-nucleotide long non-coding RNA. RefSeq lists it as uncharacterized. Lineage: Eukaryota; Viridiplantae; Streptophyta; Magnoliopsida; Proteales; Proteaceae. The record is from RefSeq and is a predicted model, not a curated record. The transcript is spliced from 2 exons.
GAACAGUCUACACUAAAACCCACAUUCAGGAAACAACUUAAAAUUCGCAAUGCAACAAUUUAAAGUUGAGGAUACAGCAUCGAGAGUUAAACUUUCAAUAUUCAAGGCAAAUACAAUAAAAUAAGAACAAGAAAAAUAAUUCUGAUACCAAAAUAACCUUUAUAUCGACGUACAAGGCUCACAUUACAGAAAAACCCAAUUUUCUCUAAGCUCUCUGGGAAAGAUGUUAACAAUGCAGUUUUUCCUGCUCACAAUGAGACUAGGAUUGAACAAAUUGUCUGCAAAAUCGGCACCAAAAUUCCAGCAGUUUUGGGGCAAAAUUUCAUUUCACUCGUAACAAUUUGAAGACACCCGUUUAAAAAAUAAUGCUUGAAUAAAAAGUUUUGGAAAUUUUCAAACAACUUACUAAUACAGAUUCUUAAACGGGGAAAUA